RNAcentral lists this ribosomal RNA (234 nucleotides) under uncultured bacterium. RNAcentral describes it as "partial 16S rRNA". It matches the Rfam family "Bacterial small subunit ribosomal RNA", at positions 505 to 738 of the family's 1533-position model. The record is from RNAcentral.
GUGUCAGCAGCCGCGGUAAUACGUAGGGUGCGAGCGUUAAUCGGAAUUACUGGGCGUAAAGCGUGCGCAGGCGGUUGUGUAAGAUCGAUGUGAAAUCCCCGGGCUUAACCUGGGAACUGCGUUGAUGACUGCACAAAUCGAGUACGGCAGAGGGGGGUGGAAUUCCUGGUGUAGCAGUGAAAUGAGUAGAGAUCAGGAGGAACACCGAUGGCUAAGGCAGCCCCCUUGGCCGAU